RNAcentral lists this ribosomal RNA (627 nucleotides) under Enterobacter sp. RNAcentral's name for it is "bacterial SSU rRNA". It matches the Rfam family "Bacterial small subunit ribosomal RNA", at positions 92 to 715 of the family's 1533-position model. The record is from RNAcentral. Lineage: Bacteria; Pseudomonadati; Pseudomonadota; Gammaproteobacteria; Enterobacterales; Enterobacteriaceae.
CGAGCGGCGGACGGGUGAGUAAUGUCUGGGAAACUGCCUGAUGGAGGGGGAUAACUACUGGAAACGGUAGCUAAUACCGCAUAACGUCGCAAGACCAAAGAGGGGGACCUUCGGGCCUCUUGCCAUCAGAUGUGCCCAGAUGGGAUUAGCUAGUAGGUGGGGUAACGGCUCACCUAGGCGACGAUCCCUAGCUGGUCUGAGAGGAUGACCAGCCACACUGGAACUGAGACACGGUCCAGACUCCUACGGGAGGCAGCAGUGGGGAAUAUUGCACAAUGGGCGCAAGCCUGAUGCAGCCAUGCCGCGUGUAUGAAGAAGGCCUUCGGGUUGUAAAGUACUUUCAGCGGGGAGGAAGGUGCUGAGGUUAAUAACCUCAGCAAUUGACGUUACCCGCAGAAGAAGCACCGGCUAACUCCGUGCCAGCAGCCGCGGUAAUACGGAGGGUGCAAGCGUUAAUCGGAAUUACUGGGCGUAAAGCGCACGCAGGCGGUCUGUCAAGUCGGAUGUGAAAUCCCCGGGCUCAACCUGGGAACUGCAUUCGAAACUGGCAGGCUAGAGUCUUGUAGAGGGGGGUAGAAUUCCAGGUGUAGCGGUGAAAUGCGUAGAGAUCUGGAGGAAUACCGGUGG